AAACUGCGAAUGGCUCAUUAUAUCAGUUAUAGUUUAUUUGAUGAAGAGAUACUAAUUGGAUAACCGUAGUAAUUCUAGAGCUAAUACAUGUAUAAAGUCUUGUUGACUGCAUUUAUAAGAAUGAAAACCAUAGGUUUCGGCCUAUUCGUGAGUAAUAAUAACUAAUCAUAUCGUAUGCUUAUGUAACGAUGUGUCUUUCAAGUUUCUGCCCUAUCAGCUUUCGAUGGGAGUGUAUUGGACUACCAUGGGAGUAACGGGUAACAAAAAAUUUGGGUUCUAUUUCUGAGAG
RNAcentral lists this ribosomal RNA (289 nucleotides) under Blastocystis sp. RNAcentral's name for it is "partial small subunit ribosomal RNA". It matches the Rfam family "Eukaryotic small subunit ribosomal RNA", at positions 84 to 390 of the family's 1831-position model. Lineage: Eukaryota; Bigyra; Opalinata; Blastocystidae. The record is from RNAcentral.